RNAcentral lists this unclassified non-coding RNA (606 nucleotides) under Hevea brasiliensis (rubber tree). The record is from RNAcentral. Lineage: Eukaryota; Viridiplantae; Streptophyta; Magnoliopsida; Malpighiales; Euphorbiaceae.
AAACAUUGAGGGAAAGAAUGUGGAUGAUUUCAGAUGUCAUAUAAAACAAAUCAGUUACAGAAAAUAUGCAAGUGAUGAAAAUAGCAUGUUGUACAGGACCAGAAAACUAUGCAAAAAUUUUGCAUAGUUAAUAUUAAUACAAAUUCAAACAUUGAUAAAAUCAGAGUUAAACAAACAGUACAAAACAUAAAGGUAUCUCCACUCUAGGUAGAGGAAAUUAUUUACCUGCAACCCUAGCAAAGUGUUUCCCUGACUGCACUUUGAAAGUGUAUUAUUAGCAAUGAAUAUAGUGUGCACAAAUUUUACAUAACUAAUAUUUAUUCAUUUUCAAACAUUGUCAACAAAAAGUACAAAACAUACAGGUGCUUGCGUAAAAUCAAAUUCAUAUAGAGAAAAUUAUACACUUGUAGACCUAAGGCAGUGUUCCCUGACUGUACUUUGACAAAUUGCAAUUUUUCCUAUUAACGGUGUAUUACUGUAAGGGAUUCUCAGCUACAUGUUUAAGUCAGUAAUUUGAAGGCAAAUGAAUUUCACGUUAGGGAUUGUUUAGUACUUUUAGGUAACAACAUAGUCAAUUUUUUUUUUCAUUGUGAAAUCACAAAAUAC